This 71-nucleotide transfer RNA is filed under the name Marmota monax (woodchuck). RNAcentral describes it as "tRNA.Ala". Lineage: Eukaryota; Metazoa; Chordata; Mammalia; Rodentia; Sciuridae. The record is from RNAcentral.
GGGGUUGUGGCUCAGCAGGAGAGCACUCACCUAGCGCGUGCAAGGCCCUGGGUUCGAUCCUCAGCACCACA